CGCAUUUUGAAAGAAAAGUUAUUUUCGUGAUAAAUUAGUGAGCUCAUAAAAAUAAUUUUCGUGCCAAAUUUCGGUGUAAAAUUCAUUGGAAUCAGCAGAAAGGGGUGUCGGUCAGUUGCGAUUAAAAAGCCAAUACGGUGAAACUACAAAUCCUUUUUCGGAGUGAUUUCGGACUACAAGUUAGGUUGAUCCGUCGUAGAGUAGAAUUCCUAUCGUUUUACGUACCCAGCAGCACACAGAUAAGUCUCCUGGCUGACAUUCAGUUUCGAAACCCUUUGAAACAACGACGGCACUGGACACACUCGGAAUUGUUUAUGACUGGUAAGUAAAACUUUUUCCCCUCGCUUGUGAAAUCCCGUUCGAGAUUAUCUACGACAAAGCGCACGACAUUUCUCGUUGCCCUCCGCUAAACCUGGCAGCAUUCGGUUCCCAUCAUGUCCAGUUUCCAGUUCGGUACUUUUUGUCGCCGCCAAUUCAACCACCGCCCCCUCCUCACACAGCAAUAACCUCGGCUCCACUAACCGUAUGAUGGACUCCAGCGAGACACGACCAAACCGAACGGACUUUGACUCGGUCACGGGUGCUCGGCAGCAGCAGCAGCCUCUGCCACUGAGUGAUGGGAUCUUGGCUUCUGCAGGUGUUCGGAAGGAAAACUUUCACACAAGGACACAAAAAAGUUGGUCUGAGUGCGAGACGUCGAGGCGGUUGGUGACGAUGAUCAUCUCGAACGCACUCCCACUUCCAUCUUGCCCAGUGGCAGUGGCACAGUGUCCGAUGAGCUUAGAGUAGUGUGUGUUGUCUAAAAAUCAAUAUCAAAUAUACCAUUGUUUGUUUCGAUGUUCGUCCAAUUUCAAUUGAACAAUAGGAAGUUCAUAAUACGACGAUGGCUUUUGUCAAACUUACCAUAUUGUUCCUCUUCUCAGAUGAAACUUCCAGAGUACAAAUUAAUAAUUCCAAUGCAUCGUGUAUUUCUAGACGUAAUAAUAUCACCAAUAAGAGGCAACAGAUAACAAACUUUCAACCCAUUUUCAAAAUCAGUCUUUUA
Molecule: long non-coding RNA, 1045 nt
Organism: Armigeres subalbatus
Lineage: Eukaryota; Metazoa; Arthropoda; Insecta; Diptera; Culicidae
Exons: 3
Source: RefSeq, a predicted model, not a curated record